AACGAACGCUGGCGGCAUGCCUAACACAUGCAAGUCGAACGAGACCUUCGGGUCUAGUGGCGCACGGGUGCGUAACGCGUGGGAACCGGCCCUUAGGUUCGGAAUAACUCCCCGAAAGGGGUGCUAAUACCGGAUAAUGUCUUCGGACCAAAGAUUUAUCGCCUUUGGAUGGGCCCGCGUUGGAUUAGCUAGUUGGUAGGGUAAAAGCCUACCAAGGCGACGAUCCAUAGCUGGUCUGAGAGGAUGAUCAGCCACACUGGGACUGAGACACGGCCCAGACUCCUACGGGAGGCAGCAGUGGGGAAUAUUGGACAAUGGGCGAAAGCAUGAUCCAGCAAUGCCGGGUGAGUGAUGAAGGCCUUAGGGUUGUAAAGCUCUUUUACCCGGGAUGAUAAUGACAGUACCGGGAGAAUAAGCUCCGGCUAACUCCGUG
Molecule: ribosomal RNA, 433 nt
Filed under: uncultured bacterium
Lineage: Bacteria
Description: partial 16S ribosomal RNA
Rfam family: Bacterial small subunit ribosomal RNA
Source: RNAcentral